UACGGAGGGUGCGAGCGUUGUCCGGAAUCACUGGGCGUAAAGGGCGCGUAGGCGGCGCGGAAAGUCAACGGUGAAAGCUCGGGGCUCAACCCCGAGUCGGCCGUCGAUACUUCUGUGCUUGAGCACUGUAGAGGCAGGUGGAAUUCCGGGUGUAGCGGUGGAAUGCGUAGAGAUCCGGAAGAACACCGGUGGCGAAGGCGGCCUGCUGGGCAGUAGCUGACGCUGAUGCGCGACAGCGUGGGGAGCAAACAGG
RNAcentral lists this ribosomal RNA (253 nucleotides) under uncultured bacterium. RNAcentral describes it as "partial 16S ribosomal RNA". It matches the Rfam family "Bacterial small subunit ribosomal RNA", at positions 524 to 776 of the family's 1533-position model. RNAcentral also lists the same sequence under 1 other name. The record is from RNAcentral.